UGGGGAAUAUUGCACAAUGGGCGCAAGCCUGAUGCAGCCAUGCCGCGUGUAUGAAGAAGGCCUUCGGGUUGUAAAGUACUUUCAGAGGGGAGGAAGGGAGUAAAGUUAAUACCUUUGCUCAUUGACGUUACCCGCAGAAGAAGCACCGGCUAACUCCGUGCCAGCAGCCGCGGUAAUACGGCGGGUGCAAGCGUUAAUCGGAAUUACUGGGCGUAAAGCGCACGCAGGCGGUUUGUUAAGUCAGAUGUGAAAUCCCCGGGCUCAACCUGGGAACUGCAUCUGAUACUGUCAAGCUUUAGUCUCGUAGGGGGGGGUAGAAUUCCAGGUGUAGCGGUGAAAUGCGUAGAGAUCUAGGAGAAUACCGGUGGCGAAAGCGGCCCCCUGGACGAAGACUGACGCUCAAGUGCGAAAGCGUGGGGAGCAAACAGG
This 429-nucleotide ribosomal RNA is filed under the name Chloroflexota bacterium. RNAcentral describes it as "Chloroflexi bacterium partial 16S ribosomal RNA". It matches the Rfam family "Bacterial small subunit ribosomal RNA", at positions 355 to 776 of the family's 1533-position model. The record is from RNAcentral. Lineage: Bacteria; Bacillati; Chloroflexota.